RNAcentral lists this ribosomal RNA (486 nucleotides) under uncultured bacterium. RNAcentral's name for it is "partial 16S ribosomal RNA". It matches the Rfam family "Bacterial small subunit ribosomal RNA", at positions 30 to 507 of the family's 1533-position model. The record is from RNAcentral.
AUUGAAUGCUGGCGGCAUGCCUUACACAUGCAAGUCGAACGGCAGCACGGGUUCUUGCGCCUGUUGGCGAGUGUCGAACGGGUGAGUAAUACAUCGGAACAUGUCCUGUAGUGGGGGAUAGCCCGCCUAAAGCCGGAUUAAUCCAGCAUACGAUCUACGGAUGAAAGCGGGGGACCUUCCGGCCUCGCGCUAUAGGGUUGGCCGAUGGCUGAUUAGCUAGUUGGUGGUGUAAAGGCCUACCAAGGCGACGACCAGUCGCUGGUCUGAGAGGACGACCAGCCAGACUGGGACUGAGACACGGCCCCGACUCCUACGGGAGGCAGCAGUCGGGAAUUUUGGACAAUGGGCGAAAGCCUGAUCCAGCAAUGCCGCGUGUGUGAAGAAGGCCUUCGGGUUGUAAAGCACUUUUGUCCGGAAAGAAAUCCUUGGCCAUAAUCCGGUCGGGGGAUGACGGUACCGGAAGAAUAAGCACCGGCUAACUACGUG